AAGCCUGACGGAGCAAUACCGCGUGAGGGAGGAAGGCUCUUGGGUUGUAAACCUCUUUUCUCAGGGAAGAAGAGAUGACGGUACCUGAGGAAGAAGCAUCGGCUAACUCCGUGCCAGCAGCCGCGGUAAUACGGAGGAUGCAAGCGUUAUCCGGAAUGAUUGGGCGUAAAGCGUCCGUAGGUGGUGAUGCAAGUCUAUUGUCAAAGCGUGCGGCUCAACCGCAUAAAGGCAGUGGAAACUGUGUAACUAGAGUGCAUUCGGGGCAGGGGGAAUUCCUGGUGUAGCGGUGAAAUGCGUAGAGAUCAGGAAGAACACCGGUGGCGAAAGCG
Molecule: ribosomal RNA, 329 nt
Filed under: uncultured cyanobacterium
Lineage: Bacteria; Bacillati; Cyanobacteriota
Description: bacterial SSU rRNA
Rfam family: Bacterial small subunit ribosomal RNA
Source: RNAcentral